RNAcentral lists this ribosomal RNA (109 nucleotides) under Scophthalmus maximus (turbot). The record is from RNAcentral. Lineage: Eukaryota; Metazoa; Chordata; Actinopteri; Pleuronectiformes; Scophthalmidae.
GCUUACGGCCACACCGCCUGGUUCACGUCCGAUCUCGGAAGCUAAAAUAGGUUGGGCCUGGUUAGUACUUGCAUGGGAGACUGCCUGGGAAUACCAGGUGCUGUAAGCU